AUUGAACGCUGGCGGCAUGCCUUACACAUGCAAGUCGAACGGUGACAGGUCUUCGGAUGCUGACGAGUGGCGAACGGGUGAGUAAUACAUCGGAACGUGCCUAGUAGGUGGGGAUAACUACUCGAAAGAGUGGCUAAUACCGCCUGAGAACUACGGAUGAAAGCAGGGGAUCGCCAGACCUUGUGCGACUAGAGCGGACGAUGGAAGAUUGGGUAGUUGGUGGGAUAAAAGCUUACCAAGCCGACGAUCUGUAGCUGGUCUGGGAAGACGAUCAGCCACACUGGGACUGAGACACGGCCCAGACUCCUACGGGGGGCAGCAGUGGGGAAUUUUUGGCCAAUGGGCGCAAGCCUGAUCCAGCAAUGCCGCGUGCAGGAUGAAGGCCUUCGGGUUGUAAACUGCUUUUGUACGUAACGAAAAGCCCCGGGUUAAUACCCUGGGGUCAUGACGGUACCGUAAGAAUAAGCACCGGCUAACUACGUGCCAGCCGCCGCCGUAA
Molecule: ribosomal RNA, 499 nt
Filed under: uncultured bacterium
Lineage: Bacteria
Description: partial 16S ribosomal RNA
Rfam family: Bacterial small subunit ribosomal RNA
Source: RNAcentral